UACGUAGGGUGCGAGCGUUAAUCGGAAUUACUGGGCGUAAAGCGUGCGCAGGCGGUUUUGUAAGACAGACGUGAAAUCCCCGGGCUUAACCUGGGAACUGCGUUUGUGACUGCAAGACUAGAGUGUAGCAGAGGGGGGUAGAAUUCCACGUGUAGCAGUGAAAUGCGUAGAUAUGUGGAGGAAUACCAAUGGCGAAGGCAGCCCCCUGGGUUAACACUGACGCUCAUGCACGAAAGCGUGGGGAGCAAACAGG
RNAcentral lists this ribosomal RNA (253 nucleotides) under uncultured bacterium. RNAcentral's name for it is "partial 16S ribosomal RNA". It matches the Rfam family "Bacterial small subunit ribosomal RNA", at positions 524 to 776 of the family's 1533-position model. The record is from RNAcentral.